GCCGCCCUGCUGCGGCGUGGCCUGGAGCUGCUGGCGGCGUCCGAGGCCCCCCGGGACCCUCCAGGUCAGGCCAAGCCGAGAGGGGCUCCGGUGAAACGGCCCCGGAAGACGAAGGCAAUUCAGGCCCAGAAACUGCGGAACUCGGCCAAGGGAAAGGUGCCCAAGUCGGCACUGGACGAGUACCGGAAGCGAGAGUGUCGAGACCACCUCAGAGUAAACCUGAAGUUUCUGACCAGGACGAGAAGCACCGUGGCUGAGUCUGUGAGCCAGCAGGUUGGUCGAGGGGACUAUAGGAAGGGACCUGGGAGGUGAGAGCCGAGGCUGUUCCCCUAGGACCCAUGGCGGUCUCAGCCCUGAGCAUAGGGUGGGAGGCUGGGCCAGCCCUGCCCUGCGCCAAACUCCCCUGUGACCUUUGCGGGCCUCCUCUGCUCUUGAAAUGAUGGGCCCUCGGUCCCGCACCCUCGCCAGAUUUUGCGCCAGAACCGGGGCCGCAAGGCCUGUGACCGGCCUGUGGCCAAGACCAAGAAGAAGAAGGCUGAGGGCACCGUGUUCACCGAGGAAGACUUCCAGAAGUUCCAGCAGGAAUACUUCGGCAGCUAGGCUCCCUGGAGGGCACGGUGAAGAGGCCUUCAAGCCCUGCAGCCUC
This 646-nucleotide small RNA is filed under the name Pan troglodytes (chimpanzee). RNAcentral's name for it is "retained intron". Lineage: Eukaryota; Metazoa; Chordata; Mammalia; Primates; Hominidae. The record is from RNAcentral.